GUUGUGCAAUUGAGACACUGGACCACAAUACAAGUACGGAAAAUUGGAUUGGCACAAGCUUCUCGCUUGGAUGUUGGAAUCGCUCCAAGGAGCAAUGUGGAGGAAGGUAGGGCGGUAGUCACUUGUGACAGAAAAAUGCAGGAGCUCUGAGCAUAGCUGAGCAGGAUGAAUGACCCUCAGCUGCCCCAAAGCCUGAGGGACUGCUGGCUCACUGAUGGCUCUGUUCAUGACGUCCAGACACAGAUGCUGCAAAGGUUUCGCUGAGAGAAGGCUUGGCUUCCAGCGUGGCCCCUUGUAAAGCCCAAGAGAGCAGAGAGGAAAUGUCCACAGAUGGAGGUGCAGACAUCACCGUGUGGCUGUAAUAUGCACAGCAUUAUGAGGGAAGCAGCUGGAGAUCAUCUGAGUAUCCAAGGAGAAAAGUGGCUGCUGCAAAUGUGGCGUAGAGGGACGGAGACCGGCCAUGUGUGCACCAUCUUUGUUGGGAUUUAGGCAUCCUAUCAGUACCAGGACCAUACCAGGGUGUCCAUCUGGCCCUGCUGAGCUCUGUGGGAAAAACUGAUUAGAGCUAUCCAAUGGCAUCAGUCCCUGCCCAGCAGGGCUUUGUAACAGAAGUGGUCCAGUCCUGUUUUGUCUGACCCAUAAUUCAGUGGGGCCUCGGAGAUAGUGAUGGGCACGGGUGCUGGAGCCAAUACCCUGAUGAGAAUGUUUUUGUGCUGCAGAAGGAAACAGGGGUAACCCAAGGAAACAGAACGACCACCUUCAGAUCAAACCAGUGAUCAUCUUACUGAAAAGGCAAGCAUUCUAACCAUUCUUCCACCAUGUGGCCUCCGUUGCUGCACUAAUGCCUGUAAAAUGACCACUUGACAUUUCCCUUCUCCAACUAAAGACGGUGACGUGAUUGAUUCGGAGGGUCACGACAGGUCACCGUUAUGCAAAUUAUAAAUAAUAUGUAUACUGUUAAAAGGGAAAGUGAAUUGCUUCACGCAGAUUGUGUCCUUCUGAGGUUCUUCUGUGGCGUUCCGUGUCAGCAGAGUGUAAUUGACUCUUUACAUUAUCCAUUACAAUGGUCAGAGUUGAAAACCAAUGGUUCCAAGGUCAGCAGGAGGUCGUGAGCCAGGAUGAAAUGAUCACUUGGAUUUGGUCAGAAGACUUCCAUCUUCAUGGUUCACACAGAGUGAGAGUUAAAGUGUCUCCUCUUUAA
Long non-coding RNA from Cynoglossus semilaevis (tongue sole), 1201 nucleotides. RefSeq lists it as uncharacterized. Lineage: Eukaryota; Metazoa; Chordata; Actinopteri; Pleuronectiformes; Cynoglossidae. The record is from RefSeq and is a predicted model, not a curated record. The transcript is spliced from 5 exons.